Non-coding RNA from Danio rerio (zebrafish), 89 nucleotides. The record is from Rfam. NCBI's taxonomy places the organism in Eukaryota, Metazoa, Chordata, Actinopteri, Cypriniformes, Danionidae.
GGCUCUGUGGCGCAAUGGAUAGCGCAUUGGACUUCUAGGCUGUCAGCUGUGCCAUUCAAAGGUUGUGGGUUCGAGUCCCACCAAAGUCA